CAAAUCCAUAUUACUUUUCUCCCUCAGUGAUCCAUGACCUUUACAAAGAGCAAAAAAGGAAAGCAUUACUUAUUCAUUCCAAAAAGUUAAAGGCUUACCAGAGCAGGAGCACAGUUAUUUGGACGAACAUGGCAGACUUGUUUAAGGAAGCUUGAGCUCCUUCUGGCUCAUGUGCGGAACGAAAGUCCUCCUUUCAGUGAACGAGAGUUGGCAGCCCUUCUGUGGAGCCACCACGAGGCAGCUGAGCUGGGACAACUUGCUGAUGUCCCAGAAUGCAGCCCUGCAACAUUAGAUGUGACUUCUUCCACUUGAAUGCAAGCAAAAUAAGCCAGUUUUCCUCCUUUCCCUAAAUGAAAGCCUUCUCAAAUAACUGAAAAUGGAUGCUCAUUUUCAAAGAAAUAUUUUCUAGAUGAAGACAGAUAGAUUGCAUGCUUGAGCUUUGAGAAUUACCACACACUGGAUGAGGGGAUGGAAACUUCUUUUUCAUGGAAAUGUAUGUAUCUUUAAAUAUAAUAAAUAUAGGUAGCUCUAAAGUUGAUUUUGAAUUUUUCAUUAAGAUACGCAAAAGAAGAAUUAUAUUUACAUGCAGUAACAUGAAUUUAU
RNAcentral lists this long non-coding RNA (603 nucleotides) under Cairina moschata (Muscovy duck). RNAcentral describes it as "domestica (muscovy Duck (domestic type)) lncRNA (ENSCMMG00000000230.1)". The record is from RNAcentral. Lineage: Eukaryota; Metazoa; Chordata; Aves; Anseriformes; Anatidae.